GAUGAACGCUGGCGGCGUGCCUAAUACAUGCAAGUCGAGCGAACGGACGAGAAGCUUGCUUCUCUGAUGUUAGCGGCGGACGGGUGAGUAACACGUGGAUAACCUACCUAUAAGACUGGGAUAACUUCGGGAAACCGUAGCUAAUUCCGGAUAAUAUUUUGAACCGCAUGGUUCAAAAGUGAAAGACGGUCUUGCUGUCACUUAUAGAUGGAUCCGCGCUGCAUUAGCUAGUUGGUAAGGUAACGGCUUACCAAGGCAACGAUGCAUAGCCGACCUGAGAGGGUGUUCGGCCACACUGGAACUGAGACACGGUCCAGACUCCUACGGGAGGCAGCAGUAGGGAAUCUUCCGCAAUGGGCGAAAGCCUGACGGAGCAACGCCGCGUGAGUGAUGAAGGUCUUCGGAUCGUAAAACUCUGUUAUUAGGGAAGAACAUAUGUGUAAGUAACUGUGCACAUCUUGACGGUACCUAAUCAGAAAGCCACGGCUAACUACGUG
Molecule: ribosomal RNA, 497 nt
Filed under: uncultured bacterium
Lineage: Bacteria
Description: partial 16S ribosomal RNA
Rfam family: Bacterial small subunit ribosomal RNA
Source: RNAcentral